CCCAAUAACUUUAUUACCUGCCAGCUGAUUUUGAAAAGAUAAGCAGGGUUAGAUUUGAUUAGAACCUGGAUGGGAGACCACCAAGAAAUUCCACGGUUGUAGGCU
This 105-nucleotide ribosomal RNA is filed under the name Salvator merianae (Argentine black and white tegu). The record is from RNAcentral. Lineage: Eukaryota; Metazoa; Chordata; Lepidosauria; Squamata; Teiidae.